RNAcentral lists this long non-coding RNA (1175 nucleotides) under Triticum aestivum (bread wheat). RNAcentral describes it as "long non-coding RNA (TAES_LNC028130)". The record is from RNAcentral. Lineage: Eukaryota; Viridiplantae; Streptophyta; Magnoliopsida; Poales; Poaceae.
CAAGCCCACAUCACUUAGUGCUACUUCGCCUCCAUCUUCGUUCUUCUGCUACCUCAACACCCAGCUCUGCUCCUACUCUUCCUCAGCUCCCUCCUACCAACGCCCGGUCGUGCUCCACUCCCAGCUAUGACGGCCACAUGAGCUCCACCCGCACCAACACGAGACGACGAAGCUGACGUCCCGUGCUCCGUAUACCUUCGUCUGCUCAUGAUUCGACCUCCUAUUACUCCACAACGACACCAACCCAUACUCCCUUCCCCUCCACAGCCAAGCAACCGCUGCAUCAGGCACGGGUACGCAUGCCGACUGCCUGAUCUGGUAUGGAUGCGCGCGGUAGCUCCUCCCACCCCUGAUCUUUCCUUGGCAAGCUCACAUCUCCACCUGGUCCGCAACAGGAGACGCCGCGCUGGGUGUUGUAGCUACGGAGGUCAUCGAUUGGUCGAAGGACGCCCAGUGGCAGUGGGAAGUGACCCGAGGCGAGGUGGAGUCAGCAAGGCGGCAGAGGUUGGGCCAAAAAUCUCUUUUCUAUGUUCUCCGCGUACACAAAACUGAUUAUCUCCUUCUCGUAUCCUGCAGUGGCGAGAUUCGGGAUCGAUGGAUCCGACUCCCGACGCUGCGAGCCCGUGUUGCCCAGAUCUUGACGACGGCGAGCCGAGGUUGCCUACGGGCGGCAGGCGGCGCUCCCGUGGCGAGGAUGGCGGGGCCUGGUCGGAUCCGGGCGGAUCUGGCCGGGAUGGAUCUAUUUCGGACGGAUUUGGCUUGGAGGCGGCCGGAUCUGGCGAGAUUGAGGGCCGAUGGCGCCAUGGUCCUCCUGGAGAUCCCUGCUCACCGAGAAAGAGAGACAGAGGUGAGAGGAGAUCAAGAUGAAGGAGGAGAUGGGCGAGGCGGCGGAGCGGCCGGAGCUCCGGCGGCGGGGCACGGUGGAGGUGUGGGGUCGCCGGCGAGGUGGCUUGCGGGUGCGAGGGGAGCUGGGCGAGGCGGCGGAGCGGCCGGAGCUCCGGCGGCGGGGCACGGUGGAGGUGUGGGGGCGCCGGCGAGGUGGCUUGCGGGUGCGAGGGGAGCUCGGGUAGGAGGAAGCUGCGGGAGGCGGAGCGGUCCAGUUCGGGCUGGAUUUCUAGGGUUAUUUAUGUAAAACUGAAAGUUUUCUUAGAAUCCACUAAAGAAAGGACUACGNN